Non-coding RNA from Paramuricea clavata, 65 nucleotides. The record is from the annotation of a GenBank genome assembly. NCBI's taxonomy places the organism in Eukaryota, Metazoa, Cnidaria, Anthozoa, Malacalcyonacea, Plexauridae.
GCCUCUGUAGCUCAAUUGAUUAGAGCGUUGCACCAGGGCCGAAGGUUCGAUUCCUGUCAGGGACC